RNAcentral lists this ribosomal RNA (455 nucleotides) under Membranacea unijugata. RNAcentral describes it as "partial large subunit ribosomal RNA". The record is from RNAcentral. Lineage: Eukaryota; Metazoa; Arthropoda; Insecta; Hemiptera; Cicadellidae.
ACAUUCUGCCCUAUGAUUUAUAUUAAAUGGCUGCAGUAAUUUGACUGUGCAAAGGUAGCAUAAUAAUUAGUCUUUUAAUUGAAGACUCGAAUGAAUGAAUAUAUGAGAAAUUUAUUUUAUUUUUAUAAUAAAAUUAAUUUUAUUAAUCAGUAAAAAAGCUUAUUUAAUCUAUUAAGACGAGAAGACCCUAUAGAACUUUAAUUAAAAUUUUAUUAACAAAUUAAUUAAAAUUAAUUUUAAUUUUUUAUUUUUUGCUGGGGAAGUAGAAAAAUUUUAAUUUUUUUUUAAAAAAUCAUUAAUUUAUGUUUUGUUAAUUUAAAUAUUUUAAUUACAAGUUUAAGUUACCUUAGGGAUAACAGCGUUAUUUUUGUGGAGAGUUCAUAUCUAUAUAAAAGUUUGCGACCUCGAUGUUGAAUUAAAAUAAGGGUGAGGGGUAAUUUUUUCAUUUUUAAGUC